This 77-nucleotide transfer RNA is filed under the name Candidatus Pacebacteria bacterium CG10_big_fil_rev_8_21_14_0_10_56_10. RNAcentral's name for it is "tRNA-Pro". It matches the Rfam family "tRNA". Rfam says of the family: Transfer RNA (tRNA) molecules are approximately 80 nucleotides in length. Their secondary structure includes four short double-helical elements and three loops (D, anti-codon, and T loops). The record is from RNAcentral. Lineage: Bacteria; Bacillati; Minisyncoccota.
CGGAGAGUAGCUCAGAUGGCUAGAGUGCACGCUUUGGGAGCGUGAGGCCGCGGGUUCGAGUCCCGCCUCUCCGACCA